CCUACGGGAGGCAGCAGUAAGGAAUAUUGGUCAAUGGACGAAAGUCUGAACCAGCCAUGCCGCGUGAAGGAUUAAGGCCCUCUGGGUUGUAAACUUCUUUUAUCUGGGACGAAAAAAGGGUAUUCUUACUCACUUGACGGUACCAGAGGAAUAAGCACCGGCUAACUCCGUGCCAGCAGCCGCGGUAGUACGGAGGGUGCAAGCGUUAUCCGGAUUUACUAGGUUUAAAGGGUGCGUAGGUGGGCUUGUAAGUCAGUGGUGAAAUCUCCGGGCUUAACCCCGGGAAACUGCCAUUGAUACUAUAGGUCUUGAAUUAUCUGGAGGUAAGCGGAAUAUGUCAUGUAGCGGUGAAAUGCUUAGAUAUGACAUAGAACACCAAUUGCGAAGGCAGCUUACUACGGAUACAUUGACACUGAGGCACGAAAGCGUGGGGAUCAAACAGGAUUAGAUACCCUGGUAGUCCACGCCCUAAACGAUGGAUACUCGACAUCAGCGAUACACUGUUGGUGUCUGAGCGAAAGCAUUAAGUAUCCACCUGGGAAGUACGAUCGCAGAUUGAAACUCAAAUGAAUUGACGG
Molecule: ribosomal RNA, 578 nt
Filed under: uncultured bacterium
Lineage: Bacteria
Description: bacterial SSU rRNA
Rfam family: Bacterial small subunit ribosomal RNA
Source: RNAcentral